This 270-nucleotide unclassified non-coding RNA is filed under the name air metagenome. RNAcentral describes it as "partial contains small subunit ribosomal RNA, internal transcribed spacer 1, and 5.8S ribosomal RNA". The stretch from base 1 to 46 matches the Rfam family "Eukaryotic small subunit ribosomal RNA", at positions 1786 to 1831 of the family's 1831-position model. The record is from RNAcentral.
AAGUCGUAACAAGGUUUCCGUAGGUGAACCUGCGGAAGGAUCAUUAUCGAGUUUUGAACAGGUUGUAGCUGGCCUUUCACAAGGUAUGUGCACACCUGGCUCAUCCACUCUUCAACCUCUGUGCACUUUAUGUAAGAAAUGGUGUAAGCUGAUUUUUAAUAAGUCAGUAAUAAACCUUUCUUAUGUUUACUACCAACGCUUCAGUUAUAGAAUGUCUACUGUGUAUAACACAUUUAUAUACAACUUUCAGCAACGGAUCUCUUGGCUCUC